AAUAGAUACCCGGGUAGUCCACGCCGUAAACGAUGGAUGCUAGCUGUUAUGCGUAUCGACCCGUGUAGUAGCGAAGCUAACGCGUUAAGCAUCCCGCCUGGGGAGUACGAACGCAAGUUUAAAACUCAAAGGAAUUGACGGGGACCCGCACAAGCGGUGGAGCGUGUUCUUUAAUUCGAGGCUAAGCGAAGAACCUUACCAGGGCUUGACAUCCUUGGAAUUUCUCCGAAAGGAGAGAGUACUUUAUUGGACCAAGUGACAGGUGCUGCAUGGCCGUCGUCAGCUCGUGUCGUGAGAUGUUUGGUUAAGUCCAUUAACGAGCGCAACCCUUAUGAAUAGUUGUAUUUUUCUAUUCAGACUGCCCCGGUAACGGGGAGGAAGGGGGGGAUGAUGUCAAAUCAUCAUGCCCCUUAUGUCUAGGGCUACACACGUGCUACAAUGGCAAGUACAAAGAGAAGCAAGACCGCGAGGUGGAGCAAAACUCAAAAACUUGUCUCAGUUCGGAUUGUAGGCUGAAACUCGCCUACAUGAAGCUGGAGUUGCU
Molecule: ribosomal RNA, 544 nt
Filed under: uncultured bacterium
Lineage: Bacteria
Description: bacterial SSU rRNA
Rfam family: Bacterial small subunit ribosomal RNA
Source: RNAcentral